UCCUUAAUUGUAAUUUUAUAGAAAGGGGGAUUUUGUAAGAAUAAUGCAGGGGUGCCAAUAGUUCGCCUCAUAAUGUAAACAUUAAUUUGAAUUUCAAGUGUCACAAAAUCCAUUAAAGAAAAAUCAAUUAGAUAAAACUCAAUAGGAUGAGUAGCGUUGUUCUUUUGUGAAGGAGAGUUAAGGUCCUAUGGAUUUCAAAAUAAUAAUAUUUUUUUGGAGUAACUUUUGAAAAAUCAAGCUAGUGUUGAACUCUAACGUGUCAUCGCCACUGCAUAUCAUAACAUCAUUUAAUUGUUAUAUAAUGAACAUGAUACAUGUUAUGUAUAUUAGAAUUUCGCCUCAACCGCAGCUUCUAAACCAAACUUAUACGCGACUGCCUCAUCAUAGUCAAUGUCCUCAGGAUCAUUAAACACAUCACCUGCAACCAACAUAUCACUUUCCCUCAAAAUCACAAACAACCAGCACCAAAAUCUAGCUAAUCCCCGAGCUCCGAUAUCCACUGUUGUACACUUGUGCUUGCAUCAAUAUUUGAUCUAAAUGUGCAAACCAAUUUAAAUAUGUAAAAAACCAUCUCAAAAAGCAUAUUGUUGAUCACAUUUAAUUUUUUAUCAUUAGUUUUGUUUUUUUCCUCCCCUAUUUAUUAAAGAAAUGAAUAUCUCAAUGACCUAAAUUCAUUUGAAAAUUACAUAUGGAAUUUCAGCUUUUAGGAGAGUUUGCUUUGAGCUAUGAAAUUGUGGUGUAUAUAAUGUGGAAUCCUAAUUUCCUCUAUUUUUAAUUUUUAUAAUAUGGUAGUGAAUAUAUUUACAUUGCAUAGUAUAGAGUCAAUGACCAAAAAAAAAAUAUUAAUAUUGAUAAAAAGUAAUAUAAAUAAGGGAUAAUAUAAAAUCUUGAAUGAAAAUUUGUGAUUGCCUCAAUUAUUUGGACAAAUAGCACCUUUAUUUUAUGAAUAAACCACAAAUGGAAGUGCCUCGAUUAUAAUGCAUUUAUUUCAUUAUUUAUAUAAAAGAACUUGCUUUUUCUUUUGUCAAACGAUUUCGAAGACUAAUAAAUAUGAUUUUGUUGAUGAUUUAUAAAGUAUGACUUUUAGAUACUUUCAUAGAUUAUGUUCUAAUGUUUAUAACACUAACCUUUUUGUUUUUUAUAAACUUAUGUGCCAAUAAUAUGAUUUUAUAUUUUUAUUGUGAUAUGAUUAUAACAAAUUUAAAAAAUAAAAUUAUCAAUUAAUCAAAUUCAUUUCGGAUAGAAUGAGCAAAUUAAUUUAUUUUGACGUCAUAAUUUUUAUUUUUAUUUAUAUGAAAAUAUUCUUAAUAUAAAGACCUUGGUCCUGUACAAGUUGCAAAAAUUAGCUAACUAAUCUUCAAGAAGUGCGAGAAAAUGAUUACACCGAAAUAACCUGAUCAGCAGAUUUACAAAGAAAAAGCUUAAUUUAUUAAGGCAGAUACAAUCCCACUUCAUGAACGUCUUUGCUUCUAUUUUUUUUUUCAAUUUCUGUGGAUGAUGUUGGGAUUUAUAAAUCAAUUUCAGCACGUCACAAAAAGAUUUUGAUCAAGUGAAAAAAAAAAAAAUUAUGGAGCAUUAGUUUAUAUUAUCAUUUCUCGUUGUUCAUACCACAUUAUAAUCAUAUGAAUUACAAUAUUAUGUUAAAAAAAUUAUCUUUUUUAACCAUUU
Molecule: long non-coding RNA, 1668 nt
Filed under: Citrus x clementina
Lineage: Eukaryota; Viridiplantae; Streptophyta; Magnoliopsida; Sapindales; Rutaceae
Description: Citrus clementina (C. clementina) long non-coding RNA (CCLE_LNC003349)
Source: RNAcentral